RNAcentral lists this long non-coding RNA (601 nucleotides) under Rattus norvegicus (Norway rat). Its description in RNAcentral is "long non-coding RNA NONRATT007047". Lineage: Eukaryota; Metazoa; Chordata; Mammalia; Rodentia; Muridae. The record is from RNAcentral.
GGGAGAAGGGAAGGGGCGCCGAGAGCAGACGCGCGGGGACUCGGCGAGGGUACGUCGUAAACGGUGACUACUCCGGGUGUCCCAGCCGGCCAGCGAGGACGAUGGUGGCGGCGGGGCGCGGGCCAGCCCGGCCGCGGGCGCCGUGAUCCCGAGCGCAGCGCCCGGCAUGCCGCUGCGGUCCCCGGCCUCGGCCCCGCUCCGUCCCCGCCGCGCGCCCCCGCCGAGCGGCGCGCACCAUGCCGCGGGUGCCCGCGACCCUCUACGCCUGUCUGCUCGGGCUCUGCGCGCUCGUGCCGCGCCUCGCAGGGCUCAACAUAUGCACCAGUGGAAGUGCCACCUCAUGUGAAGAAUGCCUGUUAAUCCACCCAAAAUGUGCCUGGUGCUCCAAAGAGUACUUUGGCAACCCACGGUCCAUCAUCUCUCGGUGUGACCUGAAGGCAAACCUCAUCCGAAAUGGCUGUGGAGGUGAGAUUGAGAGUCCGGCCAGCAGCACCCACGUCCUUCGGAACCUGCCUCUCAGCAGCAAGGGUUCCAGUGCCAUGGGCUCUGACGUCAUCCAGAUGACGCCACAGGAGAUUGCAGUGAGCCUCCGUCCAGGUGA